CAAUAGGCAUAUCGUAAGCGGAGGAAGCUUCCGGAGAAACGCGUGCGGCCGUGCAUGUAAAUCUGCACUCUGUUUCUAUAUGUAACUUCUGAGUAAAACCAUAAAUAAAUCAAAACUUUCAACAACGGAUCUCUUGGUUCUGGCAUCGAUGAAGAACGCAGCAAAAUGCGAUAAGUAAUGUGAAUUGCAGAAUUCAGUGAAUCAUCGAAUCUUUGAACGCACAUUGCGCCCGCCAGUAUUCUGGCGGGCAAUGCCUGUUUCGAGCGUUCAUUUCAACCCUCAAGCACAGCUUUGGUUGUUGGGGACUCGCGGUUAAUUUCGCGGUUCCCCAAAAUUGAAUUGGCGGGUCACGUCGAAGCUUCCAUAGCGUAGUAGUAAAACCCUCGUUACUGGUAAUCGUCGCGGCCACGCCGUUAAACCCCCAACUUCUGAAUGUUGACCCUCGGUAUCAGGUAGGAAUACCCCGCUGAACUUAAGCAUAUCAAUAGCCCGGAGGAAAA
This 500-nucleotide ribosomal RNA is filed under the name Fusarium sp. RNAcentral describes it as "eukaryotic LSU rRNA". The stretch from base 114 to 269 matches the Rfam family "5.8S ribosomal RNA". The record is from RNAcentral. Lineage: Eukaryota; Fungi; Ascomycota; Sordariomycetes; Hypocreales; Nectriaceae.